RNAcentral lists this ribosomal RNA (465 nucleotides) under Vreelandella stevensii. Its description in RNAcentral is "partial 16S ribosomal RNA". It matches the Rfam family "Bacterial small subunit ribosomal RNA", at positions 338 to 795 of the family's 1533-position model. The record is from RNAcentral. Lineage: Bacteria; Pseudomonadati; Pseudomonadota; Gammaproteobacteria; Oceanospirillales; Halomonadaceae.
CCUACGGGUGGCAGCAGUGGGGAAUAUUGGACAAUGGGGGCAACCCUGAUCCAGCCAUGCCGCGUGUGUGAAGAAGGCCCUCGGGUUGUAAAGCACUUUCAGUGAGGAAGAACGCCUGGUGGUUAAUACCCAUCAGGAAAGACAUCACUCACAGAAGAAGCACCGGCUAACUCCGUGCCAGCAGCCGCGGUAAUACGGAGGGUGCGAGCGUCAAUCGGAAUUACUGGGCGUAAAGCGCGCAUAGGUGGCUUGAUAAGCCGGUUGUGAAAGCCCCGGGCUCAACCUGGGAACGGCAUCCGGAACUGUCAAGCUAGAGUGCAGGAGAGGAAGGUAGAAUUCCCGGUGUAGCGGUGAAAUGCGUAGAGAUCGGGAGGAAUACCAGUGGCGAAGGCGGCCUUCUGGACUGACACUGACACUGAGGUGCGAAAGCGUGGGUAGCAAACAGGAUUAGAUACCCCUGUAGUA